AGUAACACGUGGAUAACCUACCUAUAAGACUGGGAUAACUUCGGGAAACCGGAGCUAAUACCGGAUAAUAUUUUGAACCGCAUGGUUCAAAAGUGAAAGACGGUCUUGCUGUCACUUAUAGAUGGAUCCGCGCUGCAUUAGCUAGUUGGUAAGGUAACGGCUUAUCAAGGCAACGAUGCAUAGCCGACCUGAGAGGGUGAUCGGCCACACUGGAACUGAGACACGGUCCAGACUCCUACGGGAGGCAGCAGCU
Molecule: ribosomal RNA, 253 nt
Filed under: uncultured Staphylococcus sp.
Lineage: Bacteria; Bacillati; Bacillota; Bacilli; Caryophanales; Staphylococcaceae
Description: partial 16S ribosomal RNA
Rfam family: Bacterial small subunit ribosomal RNA
Source: RNAcentral